Gossypium arboreum is the source of this 638-nucleotide long non-coding RNA. RefSeq lists it as uncharacterized. The transcript has 2 exons. The record is from RefSeq and is a predicted model, not a curated record. NCBI's taxonomy places the organism in Eukaryota, Viridiplantae, Streptophyta, Magnoliopsida, Malvales, Malvaceae.
UGACACGGUAUCAUUUCUUUAGCAGGUCAUUUAACCUUCCAUUUCCUAAAUCUAUUUUCUAAACACAGCCCCCACUUCACCAAACUUCUCAGCCCUAAAAAUCAAAUUGUUUGGGCAUAUUCCAGCAGCCACCGAGUACACCAUUUCAUCAGGUGAUCGAUGGCACUCCAGCGACAAUCGAUGAUGCCUUUGGACCCUUCCAACUUCGAUUUUCAGCGAAGAGGGCAGAGAUCCAUGGCUGAUUUGUAAGGUUCCAUUGUGGCGAUGGUCGUACGAAAGAAGAGGCCGUUCGUGGGCAUGGAGGAGGCUCGAAUGCUUCGGUACUGGUUUCAUGCGAGACUGCUGCGCACUUGAGCUUGGUGGCUAGGGUUCCAAAAAUCUGGUUGGGGUUUGAGUUUUGGGCCAUUAGGUGUUGGGCUGUUUGGGGUUAAUUGGGUUAGAUCUGUUAUCGGGCUUAAGGGAUUUACUUGGGUUGUAAGUAUAAAUGGACUAUGGACAUUUAUUGGAUUUUUAUUUUGUGAUUUUUGUUUUUUAAUUUUUUUUUUGGAUCUUAACGGGCCCGGACGAGAUGGGCUUAUUACAGCUGCCCCUCUUUGUUCAUUGUCGUGUAAUGAAAAUAGAGCAAAGACUUCAAAUAA